This 468-nucleotide ribosomal RNA is filed under the name uncultured bacterium. Its description in RNAcentral is "partial 16S ribosomal RNA". It matches the Rfam family "Bacterial small subunit ribosomal RNA", at positions 28 to 507 of the family's 1533-position model. The record is from RNAcentral.
GACGAACGCUGGCGGCGUGCUUAACACAUGCAAGUCGAACGGAAAGGCCCUGCUUUUGUGGGGUGCUCGAGUGGCGAACGGGUGAGUGACACGUGAGUAACCUGCCCUUGACUUUGGGAUAACUUCAGGAAACUGGGGCUAAUACCGGAUAGGAGCUCCUGCUGCAUGGUGGGGGUUGGAAAGUUUCGGCGGUUGGGGAUGGACUCGCGGCUUAUCAGCUUGUUGGUGGGGUAGUGGCUUACCAAGGCUUUGACGGGUAGCCGGCCUGAGAGGGUGACCGGCCACAUUGGGACUGAGAUACGGCCCAGACUCCUACGGGAGGCAGCAGUGGGGAAUAUUGCACAAUGGGCGGAAGCCUGAUGCAGCAACGCCGCGUGCGGGAUGACGGCCUUCGGGUUGUAAACCGCUUUCGCCUGUGAUGAAGCGUGAGUGACGGUAAUGGGUAAAGAAGCGCCGGCUAACUACGUG